This 913-nucleotide ribosomal RNA is filed under the name uncultured bacterium. RNAcentral's name for it is "bacterial SSU rRNA". It matches the Rfam family "Bacterial small subunit ribosomal RNA", at positions 8 to 916 of the family's 1533-position model. The record is from RNAcentral.
AGAGUUUGAUCAUGGCUCAGGACGAACGCUGGCGGCGUGCUUAACACAUGCAAGUCGAGCGGAAAGGCCCCUUCGGGGGUACUCGAGCGGCGAACGGGUGAGUAACACGUGAGCAACCUGCCCCUGACUCUGGGAUAAGCCUGGGAAACUGGGUCUAAUACCGGAUACGACCCGCCAUCGCAUGGUGUGCGGGUGGAAAGAUUUUUAUCGGUUGGGGAUGGGCUCGCGGCCUAUCAGCUUGUUGGUGGGGUGAUGGCCUACCAAGGCGACGACGGGUAACCGGCCUGAGAGGGCGACCGGUCACACUGGGACUGAGACACGGCCCAGACUCCUACGGGAGGCAGCAGUGGGGAAUAUUGCGCAAUGGGCGGAAGCCUGACGCAGCGACGCCGCGUGGGGGAUGACGGCCUUCGGGUUGUAAACCCCUUUCAGCAUCGACGAAGCUUCAUCCUUGCAGGGUGGGGUGACGGUAGGUGCAGAAGAAGCGCCGGCUAACUACGUGCCAGCAGCCGCGGUAAUACGUAGGGCGCGAGCGUUGUCCGGAGUUAUUGGGCGUAAAGAGCUCGUAGGCGGUCUGUCGCGUCUGUCGUGAAAGCCCACGGCUUAACUGUGGGUCUGCGGUGGAUACGGGCAGGCUAGAGGCAGGUAGGGGAGCAUGGAAUUCCCGGUGUAGCGGUGAAAUGCGCAGAUAUCGGGAGGAACACCGGUGGCGAAGGCGGUGCUCUGGGCCUGUUCUGACGCUGAGGAGCGAAAGCGUGGGGAGCGAACAGGAUUAGAUACCCUGGGUAGUCCACGCCGUAAACGUUGGGCGCUAGGUGUGGGGUUCUUCCACGGAUUCCGCGCCGUAGCUAACGCAUUAAGCGCCCCGCCUGGGGAGUACGGCCGCAAGGCUAAAACUCAAAGGAAUUGACGG